CUUUGAGCCACAGUGCCACUUCCGGUUUUCUGGUGGUGAAUUGGAGAUAAGAGUCUAGUGGACUUUCCUGCCUGGGCUGUCUUAGAACUGUGACUCUCAG
Dipodomys spectabilis (banner-tailed kangaroo rat) is the source of this 100-nucleotide long non-coding RNA. RefSeq lists it as uncharacterized. The transcript has 3 exons. The record is from RefSeq and is a predicted model, not a curated record. NCBI's taxonomy places the organism in Eukaryota, Metazoa, Chordata, Mammalia, Rodentia, Heteromyidae.